Non-coding RNA from Lepisosteus oculatus (spotted gar), 1398 nucleotides. Lineage: Eukaryota; Metazoa; Chordata; Actinopteri; Semionotiformes; Lepisosteidae. The record is from RefSeq and is a predicted model, not a curated record.
GAGCCUGACAGCCUGCGGGAAAAAGCUGUUACAGAGUCUGGCGGAGCUAGUGUGUAUACUAUGAUAUCUUUUUCCAGAUGGUAGGAGGGCAGAGAGUUUAUGGGAGGGGUCAUCUACUAUACUGGAGGCCCUGUGUAAGCAGCGUUUGUGAUAGGCAUCAGAAAUGGAAGGGAGGGAGGCUCCAAUUAUGUUUUCAGCUGUUUGCACAAUUUGUUGCAGGGUCUUGUGGUCUGAAGCGUUGCAGUUCCCAAACCAAAUAAUAAUAUAGCUGAUCAUGGUGCUCUUAAUGGUGUUUCUGUAGACGUGGUAAGAAUGGGCAGGGGAAGGUUUGCCCUCCUCAGUCCCUGCAGGAAAUAGAGACGCUGCUGUGCUUUCUUUGUCUAGGAAGGUGGUAUUAAGGGACUAAGUGAAGUCAUCUGUAAUGUAUACACAAAUAAACUUAAUGCUUCUAACUGUCUCUACAGGGGAUCCGUUGAUGUGCAGUGGGGAGUGAUCAGCACGGGCCCUCCUGAAAUCAAUGAUUAUCUCUAUCUUUGUGAUAUUUACAUUAAGAGAUAUGUUGUUGUUUGUGCACCAGUCCACAAGUUGCUCCACCUCCUCUCUGUAUGGUGACUCAUCAUUGCUGCUAAUGAGGCCCACCACUGUCGUCAUUGACAAACAUGAUGAUGUAAUUUGAACUGUGCUUGGCAGAACAGUCAUGAGUCAUCAAUGUGAACAGCAGUGGGCUGAGCACACAGUGCUCAUUGUGAUGGUGCUGGAGAUGUUAUUACAAAUCCGGACUGUCUGAGGUCUCUCGGUCAAUAAGUCCAGAAUCCAGUUACAGAGAGAGUUGUUGAGGUUCAGCAAGCUUAAUUUUUCUAUCACCUUCUGGGGGAUGAUUGUAUUAAAUGCUGAACUGAAGUCAAUGAAAAGCAUUCUUACAUAAGAGUCGUUCUUAUCAAGGUGGGGACAGGGCCAGGUGAAGGGCAAGAGAUACGGCAUCAUCAGUAGACCGGUUGAGGCAGUAUGCAAACUGAAGGGGAUCCAGAGAGGUAGGGAGUCUGGACUUUAUGUGGCUCAUGACUGGCCUCUCAUGAAACACUUCAUGAUAAUUGGUGUGAGUGCCAUAGGGCAGUAAUCAUUGAGGCAGGACAUUGUUGACUUCUUCGGGACUGGUAUAAUAUUGGUGGAUUUGAAGCAUAUGAGGAUGACCACCUGGCAUGAGGAGAUAUUAAAGAUAUCUGUGAGGACGUCAGCCAGCUGUUCUGCACAUUCCUUGAGCACACGACAAGGAUCUAUGAGAAGAAUGGUACAGAACAUCACAUUCUUGUUUCCUAAGAUGUCAGAGUACCCACUGUAAAGAAAACAACAACCUGAUAACCUUGGCCAUGAGGGAGCAGGAGCAAAGCAGGAUACACC